Molecule: long non-coding RNA, 5105 nt
Organism: Helianthus annuus (common sunflower)
Lineage: Eukaryota; Viridiplantae; Streptophyta; Magnoliopsida; Asterales; Asteraceae
Exons: 10
Source: RefSeq, a predicted model, not a curated record
UCGUGAAUACAAAAUUAAAAAGUGGGCGUUUUCUGAUCUAGAGUGGUUUGAUUAAUUGUCUCCAUAUGUAGAACCCUUUUAAUACGAUAUUCAAAAAAGUUAUGCUUUUUCCGUUAUUUAUUCUUUUUUGAUUGAAUUUCAUGGAUGGUAUUGGUGCACAACUGCACUCAGAAAGUCAAAAUUGAAAGGGUGAGAGAUUGAUUGGUUAUGUUAUUGCAAUAUUAAAAUGUGAACGUAUAAGAUUUAUUGGUUGUAUAAGAUUGCUUUAUUCAUAGUAUUGUUAUUGUUUGUCAUGUUCUGUGACAUUGAUUCUUAUAUGGGUUUGUGUAAUUUCUCUUGAUCUGUUAAUAUGUUUUGCAAUUUUAUAUGGGUUGAUAGAAGUAAAUUUUCAAAUUGGUUUGUGUUUGGGAAUUUUGUGGAUACACUGUUGUUUCAAAAUACAAAAUUAUAGGGUAAUUUUGACUUUCAAGUUUUUUUUUCUUUUGGCUUUCUAUGACUAGGUAUUUGGUAAUCUACCAAAUUCUUCGUCAAUCGCUCGAUUCCUCCAAUUACGGAGAAUUUGAAGAAAGGUGUGUUACAUGCCGAUGGGUAGAAAUUUAUGGGGAAACUUUCAGAUGAGUAAACAGGUAGAAUCUUGAAGCUGGGGUGCCAGAACUGAUGGAACGGAAAGCGAUUAUUGAUGGAGUUAUGGCUGGACACUUCCGUCUAGAGAACGUUUGAAAUAAAUAGCAGAAAAGGAGGAAUAUGAAUAAUUACAAGGAAUGCAGAGCUCCAUUUAGAAAUCCUACACAUCAGAAGCAACAUAUGCAAGGUUGGCCCUUACUGUUCAGAUCACGUUCUUCAGAGAAACACAAGCCAAGCCAAGCCACGGUGUUCGGGUACCCACUGUUUUUCUUACCCUUUUGCUGCCACAGUUCCAAGUCAUCAAGUCCGAUAAUAUAUUGAAAACUAGCUUCUCCAUUGCCAUCUUGCAGAUAAACAAAAUUUGAUUUUCAAGUUGCAGCUUUUCAGUCUAGGUGCAUUCCAAUCACUUUGCGUAUCAGAAGGUUCCGAAACCGUCAAAGAGAGAACUUAUUCAAACGGAAUCACUAUUCAAUGUAAAGACGAGGAAGAAAGUAGCGCCUUUCAUGGUGCAUUUGAGCAAUGGAAAAGUAAAGCGGUUACUCAAGGUAUGUUAAUUUAUGCUAACAUUAUCAUGCAUUAAUGAUUAAUGGUACCAUUUCUUUUAACUUUAGUAAUUCCUUUUAUCUCAUAUUUACACCCGGUGAGAUAAAGCGAAAGAGUGAAAAGUUUAACCACUGCCGGAUGUUAAUACCACAUUAUCAUGCACUCUUAAUCGACCUGAUUACUUAUUGUUUCUUUCUACAUGAUCAAGUUUACCAAAUGGAAUGGUUUCUUCUUCUAAAAGCAAGUUUGAUGAUAAAAUAGAAGCAUCUUCUGCUAAAAUGUAUUUCCAUUACUACGGGCAUCAGCAAAAUAUGAUGCAGGAUUAUGUGAGAACAAGUCAAUAUAUAUCGCUUUCUUUUUCUUUUUUGAGUCGCAUUGUGCUUAUUAAAGCACGGGUCAAAUGAACACAUUUGGGAUUUUAUGGAGCUGAAUUACACGAUAAAUGUUUUUUCUAGGUUCCUACUAUGCUGCGGCGGUUAUUGAGAAUAAAGUCAAUAGCUGGUGAUAUUUUCAAGUUGUUUUAGUAUUUGUGUAGUCUCGGUAAACUUUUGUGAAUACUUGGUGGUUAACUUAUAAACUUUAUUAUUUAUAGUUUUGAAUGCAAUUUUGUUAAAAUUACAAAAUUGAGUCUAAUUUCAUUUUUUCCAAGCAACUUGGAGAUUAAUCACUUAAUCAGUUAACCAAGUUAAUUCACUAUUCGUGAGUAUUUUAUUCAUAUAACUUCAAGCCUUUUACGACGUUCACCUGUCAAUCACAGUAAGUGUCAAAUGGGUCGAAUCAGUUAUACGGGUUGAAAAUUUCAACCUGUUCACUUAGAAAAAUAUUAGCUAAUAAUGAGUCAAGUCAGUCAGUCGGUCAAACAAGUCAAAUAAAAAGUUCACACAAGUUAAAAUUUCAACUAGGUUAGUUAUAAGUUGGUCAUUUUUUGUUAUGGGUUUUUUUUCUAUAAAACAUGUCAAGCAAAAUAGAUUAGCAAAAGCGGCAACUUAAACAAGUCAAAACAGUUCAAUCCAGCCCUGUUUCAACUUCCACUAAAGUUAGCUUUUUUGACCCAUUGUCCAACUGUACCCAGUUUUUCACCUCUAGAAACAGGUAUUAGUCUUAUGUGCCCUUGAUUAAGUUAAAGAAAUAUAAACUAAUAGAUUAAGAAAAAGAGUUCACCAUAUGACCUUUUACACACUCCUUGACUAUGAACUCUUUUUUAUAUGUUGAUAUGAACUAUCGAGGCCUACCAAUCUUCAAGAUUUGAGCAUAUUUAAAUGUUUUCUAACAAUGGCUGCACUUCUUCAGAUAAUGCAAAUCACAAGGUAUGAGGAAUCAAUUCUUUUAGUAAUGAUUUAAUCAAGAACAAGUUAAUAUUUUAUAUGAAUGCCCCUAAUUUAGUCAUGUUUCAUUUUAACUUUUAUAUAAAAAAUAUUACGUUUAUUUUGGUUUACAACAGUGAUAUAAUAUUUUGCUAUCAUCUUGAUGAUGCAUUCAAGGGAACCAAUUUUGAUGUAAAGAGCCCCUCUUUUCUACUGGUGACUUUCUACGUACAUGACCUAUUGGUCACCGGGUUCAAGUCAAAGACAUUCCCCCGUCAGUCCCGCACUCUCGGACGCGAUUUUCGAUUGGGCCCCGGCCGCCGCGCAAGCUGACUUCCGCCCGGAAACCAUACUGCCCUCACACGAGAGACUCGCUGGGGUAACAGCUGGGUAAAACCGGGUUGCCCUCAAGACCGCACCAUGCCUCGGUAGAAUACGAUCUAUCAUUGGGACCACCACAUAAUGCCACAACUGGGAUCGAACCGGAGACUGGCACAACCAAACCCCAUGGGAUUACCCAGCUGGGCUGGGAGGAGGUAAACUCUCAAUCUCAAGUUGGUAAAAGGUUGCAUCAACUGAAAGAGAAAAUCCAAAAAAAGGCAAAAUCAACCAUACAUUCAACUUUGGGUUAGGAUGGGUAUUAUUUUUGUAGUAGUUGGGUUGGUUAACAAGAAUUGUUAAGAGGGUCAAGAUGGGUAACUUUAAAAAAUAACAAAAUAACAUCGUGGGUCAGGAUGGGUUUCUCUGGGUAAACCCUAAAACCAGCGCAUUCUUCUUUUGUCUCAUCUCCCACGCCCAAAUCACCACCAUCCUACAACCUCCAUUCCACCAUCUUCGACCAACACAACUCCGGCCUCUCAACCAACACCGUAUUCGGAGCACGCCUAAAUCACCAUAUUCCGACCAUCAACCACCGCUUCUGCUCAUGACCAUCGCCGCCAGCCCGCCGCUCACCUCAAACGAUCUGGAAAGGUAUAAUCGAUCACAUUUUUAUUUCAUUUUUCUAAUUUUAGCAGCCUUUUUUUUGUUAAAUCUAUUAAUCUGAAAUCAGUUCUGUAAUUGCUUAUGUGUUUGCUUUUAUUUGCGAUUCGUGUUUGCUGAACUUUAGCUAGUGAUUGAGCAGAUUAUUAUAUUUUGAGUUUGUUAACUUAGAACUGUAUACUUCAAUGAGUACAUACUUGUUUGAUUCAUUGUUGUUUGUUAUGUUUGUGAUAUAAUUGAGUUUUGUUUGGUGAAGAAAUUAUUUUUUGGGUCGGGUGUCUAUCUCUAGGGUCAUAAUGAAAUUAUUAAAUAAAUUUAGUUUAUAGGUAUACUAAUGAAUCUUAAACCCCUCUCUGGGUCAUUAGGUUGCAUCAACUGAAAGAGAAAAUCCAAAAAAAGGCAAAAUCAACCAUACAUUCAACUUUGGGUUAGGAUGGGUAUUAUCAGUAACCCUAAAAAGAGUUACGCCUCCGUCAUCUUCUCCAUCCUGAAACCCUAAUUUUUCUUGGUCACACAUCACUACAAGCCAGAUCGUUUGAGGUGAGCGGCGGGCUGGCGGCGAUGGUCAUGAGCAGGAGCGGUGGUUCAUGGUCGGAAUAUGGUGAUUUAGGCGUGCUCCGAAUACGGUGUUGGUUGAGAGGCCGGAGUUGUGUUGGUCGAAGAUGGUGGAAUGGAGGUUGUAGGAUGGUGGUGAUUUGGGCGUGGGAGAUGAGACAAAAGAAGAAUGCGCUGGUUUUAGGGUUUACCCAGAGAAACCCAUCCUGACCCACGAUGUUAUUUUGUUAUUUUUUAAAGUUACCCAUCUUGACCCUCUUAACAAUUCUUGUUAACCAACCCAACUACUACAAAAAUAAUACCCAUCUUAACCCAAAGUUGAAUGUAUGGUUGAUUUUGCCUUUUUUUGGAUUUUCUCUUUCAGUUGAUGCAACCUAAUGACCCAGAGAGGGGUUUAAGAUUCAUUAGUAUACCUAUAAACAAAAUUUAUUUAAUAAUUUCAUUAUGCGACCCAAAAAAUAAUUUCUUUCUAUUAGAAUUGGAUACCAGCAGCAAUAUGAAUAGGGUUUGAAUAUUUCUCACUGGAAGCGGUUAAUGAUCCCAAUUUGGGGCGAUUUAUUUGUAAAUUUUGUUGGUUGAAUUAAAAGCUCAACUUAAGACAAACAUGAAACAGGUGAAUCAUUAUUAUCCUACAAAAGGGCUUGUUUACUGAUCCAUAAGUUUAGUGGGAUCAAGUUGUUUGACUGUUUGCAAAUUACAAUGAAGACUUUUAGGGUUUAUGAACCGGAUUAACAAAUUAGGGCAUGUUUGGCUUAGCUUAUUUAACUCAAAAAGGACUUUUUUUUUAAAAAAAAUGAUUUAUUGACUUAUGACUUUUUGAAACGGAGUUUUUUAAAAGUGUUUAGAUUAGCUUAUGGGAGUUUGGCUUAGUUUAUUCAUGUAAAAUGACUAAAAAGGACACAUAUAUAUUAAAAUGACAAGUUAAUGAACAGUAAUAAUAAUAAUAAAUAAAUAUUAAAAAUUUCCUAUAUAAAAAGAGAAAAUAUAAAUGAAUGAAUAGUAUUGGGUACCAGUACCGGUAUCAACUUUAUCAAACUCAGUGUAUUUUCGGUAUCCGUUCGGCACUGGUAUUCAUCGGGUUUUACUCUCAAAUACCGG